CGUUUUAGUAGUGAUUUCUGAAAAAAUUAAUUUAUUUAUGCAUGUGUAUAUGCUUUACAAGUCUAAUUUAUAAAAAUAUUUGGGCUCAUGGAUCAAUUAAUUCAUUACAUAAACCUGAAAGCACACAUAGUUAGGAUUCAAUUUUUUCCCUUUUUGCUGACAAUUAACUCGAUACAGAAAAUUUUCACCUUGCUUAAGGUUUCUUUAUCUGUUCAUUCUUUUCUAAAUUGUGCUUUAUGUUUUUUCUUUGUUAUUUUUUUUUAUGACAACUGUUUAACAUUCAAAAUUUUGGUCAUUGGAACUAACGAGCUCUAAAAAAAUUCUCUAGAGUAUAUCUGAAUGCAAAUUCAUAAUUCAUGGAAUUCGUUCUUGACGAAACUUUGGGCUAAAAUUACUUCAAAAGUUUUAAGAGUUUUCUGGUCUUUAUGCUUCUUCAAAAGUUAAGGCUGUGGUUCUCAAUACUUACCCAUUUUAUAUCUCAUCAAAGAUACAAAUUAUAAUUCUUCUGCAUCAUUGUAUGAUCUACAUACAGCCAUUAUUAAAUUCAAUUUACACUUCAAAUUAUACUUAAGUCAAUUGAAUAAGAAAUUAUACUCAUGCAACCUUAUUUUCGCACAUAUUGUGUCCAUUUUUAAUUAUUGCCCUUGUUUGAGCCCCAUUUUUGUGAAGAAAAUGAAUUUUUGAAUAGUGUAUUGAUGGAAAAUGUGUGGUUAAAAAAUAAGGAAAAGUUUUUGAUUUGCGUACAAUAUUAUUUUAUUGAAGAAUGUAUGGUUGAAAUGAUGUCAAAUCACUGUUGAAUAAUGUAUUUUAGUUGAAAAAUGGGGCUCAAACAAGGGCAUUCAUCUUAUGCUACUCCUGCAUCUUGAGAAAUGACAUUUCAUGAAUUUUGGAUCCUUGUAUGACGAAUUUUUUUCUUAGGAUUUUAUCAUUUUAUUGUCUGGGUACCUUGUUUGCUUUGGGUUAUGCACAGAUUUAUGCAUGAUGAGUGGGUGAGAACAUGUAUUUCAAUCAAAUGCAUAAUAUUUUUCAAUCUGCAGUUGACACGUCUUUAUCAUCUCUGACUUGUCUGAAAUGUGUGCCAUGUUUAUUCUAUGUCCUGGAAUCUCAUAAUUGGAAAGUUAAAGUAAGAUGCACCUCCUUCCAAUGCAAUGUCUGUUUGUGUCUACCGUCUGUUGGCAUUGCAGCAUUAUCGGAACGUUAAUUCAAUCAAAACAUUUGUGUUAUAGCAUUCGGUAUGUUUGAACUGUCUUUCACAUUUGAUUUAUGCUGACUAAUUUGUUGGUGGCUUGUAUUUGAUUCCAGUUUAUAUGGUGGGCUAGAGCGAAGUUUGGGCUGUAUUGCCAUGAUGUCCUUGGAUUGAUCAUGUUGGGUCAAUAUUUUGGACCUCUUGACUUUCAAGCAAAAGGUCAGAAUGACAUUGCUUGAAUAGAUUGUCUAUUUGCUGACUUUGUGUGUUUCUUCAUUUUCAUCUAUAAGUUUCUUAUUCAUGGACUAUGUGGGACACAUUCCUAUGGAAGUAGCAAUUUUAAUGCCAGAAGUGUGUUACUCAUGGAUUAUGUGGGAUCUUCAACUAGAUAAGCAACAACGGUAGGGCUUAAAUGCAUUAUGUUUUUAUUUGUUGAAAUCUUUUUUCUUUCCAUCUUUUUGGAUAAGGAUUUUUAUAUCUAACAUUUUGUUAUUCAUACUUGUCGGUAUUAGGUUUUGUCUUCAAGCCACAAAAUCUUCUAUCUUUCCAUGGUGUGCGACUUAUAUAAGUAGACAUGACUUUGGACAUGGCUUGCUCACAAAAGAAGGUAAAAUAUUACGCUGAUAGAUUGAUGAAUAAAAGCAUUUGAGAUACGACUGUUUAGAGUCUUUUUAAAUGGCAAAGACAAUACAUAUGCAGCAAUUUUGAUAUGUAAGUGCAAUUAUAUUUCAUUAUGUUAUGUUAUUCAUAAUAAUUCAG
RNAcentral lists this long non-coding RNA (1945 nucleotides) under Olea europaea subsp. europaea. The record is from RNAcentral. Lineage: Eukaryota; Viridiplantae; Streptophyta; Magnoliopsida; Lamiales; Oleaceae.